AAUGAACGCUGGCGGCGCGCCUAAUACAUGCAAGUCGAGCGAGAAGACGUAGCAAUACGUUUGUAAAGCGGCGAACGGGUGAGGAAUACAUGGGUAACCUACCCUAGAGUGGGGAAUAACUAGCCGAAAGGUUAGCUAAUACCGCGUACGCUCCUUGGACUUCGGUUCAGGGAGGAAAGCGAUGCCGAGGGUAUCGCGCCCUUGGAUGGGCUCAUGUCCUAUCAGCUUGUUGGGAGGUAACGGCUCACCAAGGCUUCGACGGGUAGCUGGUCUGAGAGGACGAUCAGCCACACUGGCACUGCGACACGGGCCAGACUCCUACGGGAGGCAGCAGUAAGGAAUAUUGCGCAAUGGGCGAAAGCCUGACGCAGCGACGCCGCGUGGGGGAU
This 389-nucleotide ribosomal RNA is filed under the name uncultured bacterium. RNAcentral describes it as "bacterial SSU rRNA". It matches the Rfam family "Bacterial small subunit ribosomal RNA", at positions 29 to 409 of the family's 1533-position model. The record is from RNAcentral.